GUCCACGCCCUAAACGAUGGCGACUAGUUGUUGGGGAUUUAACGUCCUUAGUAACGCAGCUAACGCGUGAAGUCGCCCGCCUGGGGAGUACGGUCGCAAGAUUAAAACUCAAAGGAAUUGACGGGGGCCCGCACAAGCGGUGGAUGAUGUGGUUUAAUUCGAUGCAACGCGCAGAACCUUACCUACCCUUGACAUGUGAGGAACCUUCCAGAAAUGGAAGGGUGCCCGAAAGGGAACCUCAACACAGGUGCUGCAUGGCUGUCGU
This 265-nucleotide ribosomal RNA is filed under the name uncultured bacterium. Its description in RNAcentral is "partial 16S ribosomal RNA". It matches the Rfam family "Bacterial small subunit ribosomal RNA", at positions 793 to 1055 of the family's 1533-position model. The record is from RNAcentral.